GCUCGGGUGGCGGAAUGGUAGACGCAGCGGACUUAAAAUCCGCUGGCCUUUGGCCGUACGGGUUCGAGUCCCGUCCCGAGUA
RNAcentral lists this transfer RNA (82 nucleotides) under Verrucomicrobia bacterium CAG:312_58_20. Its description in RNAcentral is "tRNA-Leu". It matches the Rfam family "tRNA". Rfam says of the family: Transfer RNA (tRNA) molecules are approximately 80 nucleotides in length. Their secondary structure includes four short double-helical elements and three loops (D, anti-codon, and T loops). Further hydrogen bonds mediate the characteristic L-shaped molecular structure. tRNAs have two regions of fundamental functional importance: the anti-codon, which is responsible for specific mRNA codon recognition, and the 3' end, to which the tRNAs corresponding amino acid is attached (by aminoacyl-tRNA synthetases). tRNAs cope with the degeneracy of the genetic code in two manners: having more than one tRNA (with a specific anti-codon) for a particular amino acid; and 'wobble' base-pairing, i.e. permitting non-standard base-pairing at the 3rd anti-codon position. Lineage: Bacteria; Pseudomonadati; Verrucomicrobiota. The record is from RNAcentral. RNAcentral also lists the same sequence under 3 other names.